Molecule: ribosomal RNA, 465 nt
Filed under: uncultured bacterium
Lineage: Bacteria
Description: partial 16S ribosomal RNA
Rfam family: Bacterial small subunit ribosomal RNA
Source: RNAcentral
GAUGAACGCUGGCGGCGUGCUUAACACAUGCAAGUCGAACGGAAAGGCUCCUGCUUGCAGGGGUACUCGAGUGGCGAACGGGUGAGUAACACGUGGGUGAUCUGCCCUGCACUUCGGGAUAAGCCUGGGAAACUGGGUCUAAUACCGGAUAGGACGAUGGUUUGGAUGCCAUUGUGGAAAGUUUUUCGGUGUGGGAUGAGCUCGCGGCCUAUCAGCUUGUUGGUGGGGUAAUGGCCUACCAAGGCGUCGACGGGUAGCCGGCCUGAGAGGGUGUACGGCCAAAUUGGGACUGAGAUACGGCCCAGACUCCUACGGGAGGCAGAAGUGGGGAAUAUUGCACAAUGGGCGCAAGCCUGAUGCAGCGACGCCGCGUGGGGGAUGACGGCCUUCGGGUUGGAAACUCCUUUCGCUAGGGACGAAGCGCAAGUGAAGGUACAUGGAGAAGAAGCACCGGCUAACUACGUG